Molecule: small nuclear RNA, 139 nt
Organism: Styela clava
Lineage: Eukaryota; Metazoa; Chordata; Ascidiacea; Stolidobranchia; Styelidae
Product: U4 spliceosomal RNA
Source: RefSeq, a predicted model, not a curated record
AGCUUUGCGCAGUGGCAGUGUCGUAACCAAUGAGGAUUAUCCGAGGUGCGAUUAUUGAUAGUUGAAAAUUAUUACCAAUACCCCGCCCUGGUGAUGUAAUCGCAUCACCUGAGACAAUGUCUGAAGGGUUCAAUACAAU